Long non-coding RNA from Triplophysa rosa, 3286 nucleotides. RefSeq lists it as uncharacterized. NCBI's taxonomy places the organism in Eukaryota, Metazoa, Chordata, Actinopteri, Cypriniformes, Nemacheilidae. The transcript is spliced from 3 exons. The record is from RefSeq and is a predicted model, not a curated record.
AACCUGUUAACAGCCACCCCACUAGAUGAGCUUAAACUCAAAUAUGGUACAUUCUUAUUAAAAUAACUACAGUAAAUGAACGCUUUGGACUAGAGACAUCAGUGUGGUCUUGUUUAAAAGAAGAAAACUGUAGGAUUGCUCUUCAGGUAUCAGAAUUUAUUAUAGAAACAGAGAAAAAGAGCAACAGAAGCUUCAAUAUUUGGAAAUGGUAAUAAUCAAUUUAUUUGAAUAAAUUAUGUUUAAGAAAAUAAAUAAAGGACACUGUGCCAGAAUAACCAAAAAACAAUGAUGUCAAAGCCACAUGUCAGACCCAAUUUUAAUUCAAUUUUUAAGAUAAUAGCACUAAAAAUUGUAUUACUGCUAACUUUUUAUUUACAGAAUUUAAAAACGAUUGAAAAGCUCGCUUGGGCCAUUCAAAUUGUAAUAUGGUCAUAAUAAGAUGAAACACGGUGUAAUAUUUUUACGUUGUUUAUUUUAUAUAAGAACAGAUGUUGUAGCUUUCAUUUAUGGACAUCGAAACAGUCGGACUUUUGUCUAAAUCACUUAAAUUUUAUCUCAAAGCGCAAUAGUAGAUGUGAAGUUAAAAGUGACAGAAUGUUUCUGUAUACAUUGUUCGUCCUGCUCUUCUGCUCUCGGGUUAUUCUCAGAUGUUUGACUCAUAUGUUCAGAUCUGUAAUAUCCCUCUAUUCUCAUUUACUCGACUGUAAUAGGCCCGGUGAACAGUAAACGGCAUUGUAAACGUCUUUUCAAAUAGUUACACACAUUUAGCUCUGAGUUCAUUCUGGUAUGGAAUGCCUCUCUUACCCUCCUAUAAUCUCCCAGUUUAUGAAAAUAUGCCUUUUCCUACAUUAUUUCUCAGUGACCAUUCAGUUUUACUCAGGAAUGUCACAUUAGUCAGUAAAAUGAGUUGUGAAUGCAGUUUAAGAGUUUACUUUGGACUUUAAAAAGUUAAAAUGCCAAGCAUGUCAUUUAUAAAAUUAUUUUCAUGAAAUACCUUCUUCUAUCCAGUCUUAACAUAGAGAGCAUAUUAUGAAGUCAUUUUAGACCGAUUUUCCAUAAAAAAGUUAGCCCUGCUUAAUAGUCCUGUUUACAGGAAUCUGAGCAGAACAACAUAGCAACGUUAAUCUAAUGACUAUAAGAGUUCUAUAUGAUUGCCCGGCACGAAGAAAAUAGGAAAACUGUUUGAAAACAGCCAUUAUUCGUGUAAUUUUUAUGUGGUGAUGCGGGUGGUGCAGAAAUUACACAUUUCACCUUUAAUAAAAAUAAUAAAACUUUUAAGAUUCUUCAAAACAAACUGUUCUGCUGUAAAGCUACACGUGGCUAAUUUCAAACUAUACAUUUCAUAAAUUAAAAUAAAAAAAAUCCGUACCAUUUUCGUAAUCGUCUAUUCAGUGGCUACAUUUGACGUCCAUCAAACCUUCGCGAGCUCUGCACUGGCAGACUGUGCGCAGUGGAAAAAAAGUUUGCGCAUGUGCUGACGUCACACGCGCUCGGUGCGCUGUUUGGAUGUUUUGACUGACUGACAAAAAAGCGCAGCCAAUUGUACGAUGUGGGUGGGUCUUAUGUAUUCCUAAGACUUGAAUGAACACUGUAACAUCGCGCUUGACUACCUAAGCGUUUAGCAGCGUGCGUAGUUUACAGGAAAUCCCUGAAGAAUGCGCGUUCUUUCUUAAGGAAUUCAAAGAAAACACAACAUACUUUGUUGAGAGUUUCCUUAAGUUGUCUGUUUUUUGGACCAAGUUCCUGCGUGAUGUGUGUUCUGGGUCUCUGCCAUGAAAGCUACGCAGAACUUUGUAAAUCUGGGUUAUUUUGUGCAUCGUUAUUGAACAAAAGUGUUAAGAGCUCCCCGGUGUAAUGUUGCGUUAUUUAAGAAAGCUGGCGAUCGUACUAUAUCAAAGUAUCAAACAUAUGCUUUCAUUAUAACAAUACGACCAUACAUACAGAAUUCCGACGCUCAGACCUUUUCAAUGACGUAUUGUUGGUAAAUAACAAUGAAAAACCCGACGGUGAAUGUACGCGGUAAAUGUAAACAAACUCACAUAUGAACCGUGUACGGUCUGAAACAAGUUAUAGGAUUAACUCACUCGAGCGUCCCAAACAUCGAUGUAAAUCGUCGAACCGGAGAUCUGAAUAUCACGAACAUCAGAAUGGAUCAGUCUGGAGUUUAUCAAAUCAUCGGCAAAGGUUUGCAGAGGACAUUCCGUGUUAAUGUUAAGGUCAUUCCAGAACCUGUCCAGAGUAUAGACUGGAUGAAAAUUGCAUUAUGGGUAGCAGUACUGGUGCUGGUGAUAGCCCUGGUUUCAGUUAUAAUGUACUACAAAAGGUGCUGCAGGAGGGGAUUGAAUAAAAAAGAAGAGAAUGAGACCUGUGAACGAUUAAACCAGCAGUCCUUCAACACCAACGGUACAUAGACACUCAAUACAGUAUAUAACUAAUAAAGUGUUGACUUCAAACACAUAAAAAACCGUCUGUGAAAUCAUCUGUGAAACAAAUGUUGACACAGUUCAUUUGCUCUGGUGUAAACAGACAAACAUGCUCUUAUUUUAAAAUGUGAUCAAAUCGUUUGCCUUUUGCACUGUAUGGAGCAGGGCUGCAAUGAUGCACAACUCAUGUUGUGAAUACCAAACAAUAUGUUUACUUUAAAGUGCCUGCUUUUCAAUUCUAAACAUAUUUUCAGGUACAAAUCUUGUUUUUAAGUUAUUAAACUGUUCUGUUUCAAAUCUCAGUUUAAAUAGACAUUGGGUGCAGCAAUUAAAAACAUGCUCAUGUUCAGAAUCAGAUGUGUAUCAUUGGAGAGGAUGGAGUCCACUGUUAUAAGGGCUCAUUUUUUAUAAUUUUUUUAUUUGUUAUGUUGUGCAUUCUGCAUCAGUUUGUUCAACAUGUUUAAAUGUUUGUAUAUUUAUUAACAUUUUACACCUUAUGCUGGAGUACUGAAUGACCAAAGGCCAAAAACAGCAACUGCAAAUAUAACAUGGCGUUAUUUUCUGGGUGUUAAAUGUGAAAUUAAAUCAAUACCUCACUCUUGUUCUGUGUAUAUAUGAGGAAAAUUGAGGAUAUAUUGAUGCUCUGCUGUAUACACGAUGAUCUAACGUAACUGAAUCUUUACUGCUCUCUAGUGGACAAAUACUGACAUGAAAUGAACAUUUAAAAUGUGAAAUAAAGUAAAUUUAAGCUUAAGUUAAACCAACAUUAUAUGUGAAUGAGUCAUCUGAAGUCAAAUAAAAUAAGGUGUGUGUGUGCGUGCGUGCGUGCGUGCGUGUGUGUUAAACUUUAAAGUGGCGUUGCG